RNAcentral lists this ribosomal RNA (471 nucleotides) under uncultured microorganism. RNAcentral describes it as "bacterial SSU rRNA". It matches the Rfam family "Archaeal small subunit ribosomal RNA", at positions 330 to 713 of the family's 1478-position model. The record is from RNAcentral.
GUGCAGCAGUCGAGAAACCUUCGCAAUGCAGGAAACUGCGACGAGGGAACUCCAAGUGCCUACGCUCAGCGUAGGCUGUUCUCAAGCCUAGAAAGCUUGAGGAGUAAGGGCUGGGUAAGACGGGUGCCAUCUGUGGUAGCAGUCAAUAGAUUCGAUUUGUUACUGCAAGGCAUAAGCCGCCGCGGUAAUACCCCGCAGCCCAAGUGGUGGCCGCUUUUAUUGGGCCUAAAGCGUCCGUAGCCGGUCUGGUAAAUGCCUGGGUAAAUCGUGGGGCUUAACCUCACGAAUUCCGGGUAGACUGCCAGACUUGGGACCGGUUGAGGGAGAGGGUACUCCGAGGGGGUAGGGGUGAAAUCAGCAAGGUAAGCUGAUGUAACUUGCCUUGCAAGUCACAAUCCUGUAAUCCUUGGAGGACCACCGGUGGCGAAAGCGCUCUCCUAGGACGGGUCCGACGGUGAGGGACGAAAGCCG